This 1171-nucleotide long non-coding RNA is filed under the name Ananas comosus (pineapple). RNAcentral describes it as "long non-coding RNA (ACOM_LNC015764)". The record is from RNAcentral. Lineage: Eukaryota; Viridiplantae; Streptophyta; Magnoliopsida; Poales; Bromeliaceae.
GAGUCGACCGGCUGCAAUGCACGGGUAUCUUCACUAGUAUAAAAAGAAAAAUAAGAUUAGUGCAAAAACGUGGCUUGAAAUAAUUAGAUAUAAAAUUUAGGAAAAACUUUAAAUACCACCCCUAUAAUUUUGCGCUUUCUCACUUUACUACACUGUGGUUUAAAAUGUAUCACUUUCGUCUCCUAUAGUUUCAUUAUCCCCUUUGUUAAUUUUUUUAUUAAAUCAGUGACAAAGUUAAAACAACAGGGUACUAAAAUAAAUAUUCGAUAAACCAUAGGUUGGGUAUCUAAAGUUUUUUGUACAUGAUUUAAUGGAGAGUUAAUGGAGGGGUCGAUGAAAAGAGAAAAAUAAAAUCAUAGGGCACUAAAUUGACACACUUUAAAUCACAAGAUACUAAAGUGAGAAAGCACGAAACCACAUGGAUGGUAUUUCACUACAACAGAAUUAGGUUAUAGGAAUACAUGUUUGGGACACUUUUUUGUAAGUGCCCCAUUUAUACCAAAACUUUUAAAAAAAUCUACUAAUGACUAAGUAUAAAGCCCAAUCCAACAAAAAAUAAAAGGUUACUCUCCUCAACCUACCCCACCCAGCCCAUUCGGCUUGAUUACAAUCAGAAAAGAAAAAAAAAGAAAAGAAAAAUUGAUUACCAUCUCCCCUUCUCCCCUCACUCAAUUCACUGAAAUCCUAGAUGAAGAUCCCUUCCCUCUCGUCCUCCUCCGCCACCGCAGCCAACGAGGUAAAGUUCUAGCGGUUAAUAAAUGCUUAAAUAAGUGUUGAUAAAUUAACAGCACUCUUUUUAGGUUAUAGCGACACUUUUUAACUGUCACUAUAUACCUAGCGACCCCACAUGUAGCAACACUUUUUAAAAGUGUCGGUAAUUUAGCCAGUAGUAUUUUUUUUGACCUAUACCGACAUUCAAAAGUGUCGGUAUAGACCCAUUUUGUUGUAGUGUUUGAUGUUUACCCUAAAAUUAGCAACUACAAGUAAUAUUCAUCAAUGAUAAUGGCCUCUAAAGAUGAGAAGAGAAGUAUUAUUUGUAAAUCCAAAAAUUAGAUAGAAAUCUUAUAUUUAGAUAAUUUUUUUUAAUAUUUUUUAUGAGUUGGUCGGUGUGAUUGGGUGAUAUGGCAUUUAUUAUUGUUAGUAGUUUUAGUUGAUCCAUAUUAAAUAUGAU